Molecule: non-coding RNA, 72 nt
Organism: Octopus bimaculoides (California two-spot octopus)
Lineage: Eukaryota; Metazoa; Mollusca; Cephalopoda; Octopoda; Octopodidae
Source: Rfam
GCCGUGAUCGUCUAGUGGUUAGAACUCUAUAUUGUGGCCAUGACAACCUAAGUUCGAAUCCUUGUUACGGCA